AAUAUUUUGAUCGUAGGGGAAAUAGUAGCUGGAUGAACUAUCGACAGAGACCCGCUGGUGCUGUGAAGCGGGGAUGGUCAUCCGGUGAACUCAUCCUAACAGAUUGCCGCUGAACAGGAGUAGGUGGUGACGUCUAACCGCGUUAAGGCUUAGAGUGCUAUGGGAAUCCAUAGAAAAACGGGUGGUAACGCGGAUUAGAUUUCGUCUCGGAG
RNAcentral lists this non-coding RNA (212 nucleotides) under Limosilactobacillus oris. RNAcentral describes it as "Lactobacillus oris T-box sequence". It matches the Rfam family "T-box leader". From Rfam's summary of the family: Uncharged tRNA acts as the effector for transcription antitermination of genes in the T-box leader family. T-boxes are found upstream of many aminoacyl-tRNA synthetase genes and some amino acid biosynthetic genes usually in Gram-positive bacteria. Lineage: Bacteria; Bacillati; Bacillota; Bacilli; Lactobacillales; Lactobacillaceae. The record is from RNAcentral.